RNAcentral lists this long non-coding RNA (4054 nucleotides) under Daucus carota (carrot). RNAcentral describes it as "long non-coding RNA (DCAR_LNC000314)". Lineage: Eukaryota; Viridiplantae; Streptophyta; Magnoliopsida; Apiales; Apiaceae. The record is from RNAcentral.
CACAUUUCAACAUCAACAUGUUCCUCAAUGAACCUAUCAGGUCGGAAAUCUAAGGGAUCAGACCAAAUGCGAGGGUCACGUUGCAGCUUCCAUAGGUUUGCAAAUAAGCGUGUGCCAGCUGAAAUGUGGAAGCCUGCCAAAGUGCAAUCUUCUAUUGCUUCAUGGGGUCCAUUGAGUGGUGCAGGCGGGUAUAGUCGUAAUGUUUCCUUGACAAUGGCUCGCAAGUAAGGUAGAUUCUUCACAUCUGAUUCAUUUACUUGGCGAUCUCUUCCAACAUGCUUUUCCAAUUCAUCUUGAACUUUUCUUAGCACGUGGCGGUGGUUAAGUAGCAAUGAGACUGCCCAAGUAAGCGUGACCAUUGUUGUGUCAUAUCCACCUAAGAGAAGGCUCUGCAGAGAGCAGUCCAAUGAUACAGAGUGCAUAUCUUAGUAAAACAAACUUACUCUACUGUAUAAAAUGAGUUUUCUUACCUUUCUCAUAAUUAAUUGUAGUUUUGUGGUGAGAGCACAAAAGAAACUAAUAUACUCUGUUGUUUUCGUUAAUAGAAUAAAGGUUUCCAAGUCAAGUACCUGUUAAAACUAGUGUGAUAUAUUCCUUAAUUGAUUCUUAGCAUUUUAAGGCUAAAAGUUCAUAUAGAAUCAGUUGCAUUUUUGGCUGAAACUUGAGAGUGUUGGGUAUAGAUUUACCAGGCAAGUGCCUUUUAUGGUUGUGUCGGAGAUCUGAGCAUCUGGAUCCGAUUCCAUGAUAGACAGCAUCACAUGCAUAAAGUCUUGCUCAGAUUCAUUGAUGCUCGCAAGUUUCCUUUUUUGUUUAUGCUCCUUCAUCCAUCCCUCAAGUAUGUUAUCCAUCACAAUUGCUGUCUUCUUCAUUUUUCCCUUGUAUCCUGUCAGUGAAUCUACCCAACCAAAAAGGGGAACUGCAUCAGAAACCAUAAACAAGCCUACCAUAUGUAAGAAAUCCUUUGAAGCUUUCUGGAACCAUCUGGCCUCUUCAUUUUUAUACUCUCCAUUGCCAAAAUAGCGCUUCCCUGCAACCAUUCUCACCACUAUAUUCGUCGUGAGGUCUCCAAAUCUCUCUGUCAGUUCCACCACAGGCAUACCCUCUUCUCCUUUGCUUUUCCACAGCUCAUAAAGCCCCCUGACAAAUAAAUUGACUUCCGAAUCUAAAAUAUGUUUGAGCUUAUCAAGCCUACGGGUGGAUAGAAGCUCAACCAUCACUAGCUUACGCAGAUUGCGCCACUUUGGGCCAUAAGGGAGAAAUCCAAAGAUAGCACCAUCAUAUCCCAUGAUCUUCAAGGCUAGAGUCAUUGGACGGGUGGAUAAGGCCUUGUCAUGCACUGUAAAACAUUCUCGCGCAACUUCCCAGCUACUUACCACAAGAGUUUUGUGAAUCCCUAGCUGUAACAAGAAGACGGGUCCAAGUUUAUCUGCCAUGGCUGCGAAUAAAUGAUGUAAUAUCUUGUCGGCUCCUAGAAGAUGAAGGUGGCCGAUGAUUGGCCAUGCACCAGCAGGUUCCGGGGGAGCGUAGCCGCUCUUGUUGUGGCUUUUGGCAUGGAUACUUAAGAUCCUCCAUAGAACAACAAGAAAAACAACAAAGCCACAGAGAAGUAUGACUUGAGGUUGAGUGCUGAAAUCCAUUUAUUGGAUUCCUUAAAUUUGUAUUGUUAUCAGCUUUCACAGAGCAUUCUACAGUUAUAAUGAUAAGAUAACUAAUUCGAUUUCUUAAGUCCACGGAUAUUAUUGCUCAUGGGUCCACCAGGAAGUUGAGCAAUGACACCAUUGUUUGACCAGUGUUAUUGGUUACCAAUUAUGUUAAAUAGCAUUUUGGUCACUCAACUGACCGUAAACUUGCAAUCGGGUCAUCCAACUCUAAAAGCUUUCAUUCACAUUGGUGUACUCUUAAAAAUUUUCAUUCAGGUCACUGGCUAUUACACUUCGUUAAAAAUUUGAUGGAAAGCUGACAAAGUUUCGUGACUUGACUUAAAUAAAUCCACUGUGGCAUGUACAGUCAGCUAAAGCGACAUUUUGGUCACUGAACUGAUUACAAACUCACAAUCGGGUCACCAAACUCAAAAAACUUUCAUUUAGGUCACUUAUCAUAAUAUCCGUUAAAAAAUUGGAAAAAAAAGUUUUAAAAGCUAUCAUGCAACAUUUUUUUUUCUCUAUUGAAAUUUUCGAAAUUUAUUAAUAAAUGAAACAAAUACACAAACAUAAAAUCAAUAGUUUCACCCACAACAACUUAAUUUUUGUUUGUCUCUUAUCAUUUUCUAUAUCAUUAUCAUCAAUGAUUUCACUCACAAAAACUUCAUCCUUAUUAAUCUAUUGUCAUUUUAUAUAUCUUUAUUGUGGAAAAAUCCAUCAUAAAUUUAAUGAGUUUUUCCAAAAUGGUCUUGAGAUAUAUAAAACGAUAAGAGAUAAAUAAAGAUUAAGUUUUUGUGGCUGAAACUAUUGAUUUUAUGUGUGUAUUUGUUUCAUUUGUUGAUAAGUUUUGAAAUUUUUAAGAGAGAAAGAAAGGUGCUGCAUAAUAACUUUUAAUUCUUUUGUUUUUCAAUUUUUUAACGAAUAUUGUGAUAAGUGACCUAAAUGAAUGUUUUUUGAUUUUGAUGACCCGAUUGCAAGUGUGUAAUCAGUUGAGUGACCAAAAUGCCGUUUCAGCUGACUGUACAUGCCAUUGUGGAUAUAAUUAAGUCAAGUCAUGAAGUUUAGUCAGCAUUCCGUCAAAUUUUAAACCGGGUGCAGGGCUGAGCAAAAAAUCGAAAAGAAACCGAAACCGAACUGAAAACGAUAAAAACAGGUAAAAAAUCGAGGCGAAACCGAAACCGAAAAAUAAAAAACCGAACCGAAGUCAUGGGUUCGGUUCCGAUUAUUAGUUAAAACCGAACUGAAAAAAAACCGAACCGAUUAAUUAAUUAAAUAAAUAAUACUUGUAUAUUGUAUGAAUUAACUUGGGCUAAUGUUAAUGGACUUGGCAGCUAGGGUUGUGUUAAUUUGCAUCCAAAAUAUUUUCGUGUGUGUUGAUUCUUCCAUAGUUAUUCUCUGGACAACCUGAAUAAAUUAUACAGGCCGAGCCACAUAGAUGCCAGAACCUCUUAUAACCAUUUUCUCUAGCAAUUCUUCAUGUUUUUUUAUAUGUCAUGCUUAUGUAAGUUGCGGCCAAAUCAUUUUUUACCAUACCUCUUUGGUAUUGAUGGCUUAAGUGUUAAAAAACCUCCUGCACAAGAAAAAUGUACUAGAAAGUGCAGAUUAGUAAGUUGUAAAUCUUUCUGAAAACUUACUAAUUUAUUACUUUAAAAUGUUCAAGAUUAUGGUAAAUUCUAAUUCCACAACUCAAUUUGUCUAGAUCACGCACAUCAAUUUUGUCUCGUUCGUAUAUUAUUUAUAAUUCUUAUAUUUGUCGGUUUUGUAACCGAACCGAUUAUAACCGAACCGAGGUUACAGUCCGUCGGGCUGUAACGGCCAGUGACCUGAAUGAAAAUUUUUAAGAGUAUACAGAUGAGACUGAAAGCUUUUUGAAUUGGAUGACCCAAUUGCAAGUUUUUGAUCAGUUGAGUGACCAAAACGCCAUUUAGCCCGUUACCAAUUUGAACACUUCAGUUUCAGCAGAUGAUCUAUCAAUCACUUGGUCUACUUUAUCACGUACAACAAAUAGAGUCGCUGCUGCUAAUAUUACAUUUUUUUAAGUUAGUAAGUCCUGGACUAUCAGUCAUAUCGACGAGCAAGUCUGAAACAGUUCCUAGCUCAAAGCCAUGAAGCAACCUAGCCCGUGUCAAGUAGAGAACUUGGAGUGCAAGUGUGGAGCCAGGGCAUCUCCUCCUUCCGGAACCAAAUGGUAUCAGUUCAAAAUUCUUCCCCACAUUUCAACAUCAAUAUGUUUCUCAAUGAACCUCUCAGGUUGGAACUCUUGAGGACCAGACCAAAUGCAAGGGUCACGCUGCAACUUCCGGAGGUUUACAAAUAAGCGCGUGCCAGCUGAAAUGUGGAAGCCUGCCACGGUGCAAUCUUCUGAUGCUUCAUGGAGUGCAACAAUUGGUGCAGCUGAUCAAAGCACAGUUAUU